This is a long non-coding RNA of Cyprinus carpio carpio, 4476 nucleotides long. The record is from Ensembl. NCBI's taxonomy places the organism in Eukaryota, Metazoa, Chordata, Actinopteri, Cypriniformes, Cyprinidae.
AUGCUACGUCGAAGGAAGGCCUGCCCGACAAAUCUACGGCCUGUCCCUCUGACCUCUGCUACAAUGCUCUCUAUUCCAUUUGGUCUCUGGAACUGCCAGUCUGCUGUUAACAAAGCAGACUUCAUAUCUUCUAUUGCUACUCAUUCCGGUCUCAACCUCAUGGCACUGACUGAGACCUGGAUCAAACCUGAGGACACUGCCACUCUCGCAGCCCUCUCCACUAAUUUCACUUGUUCCCACACUCCUCGUAUGACUGGGAGGGGUGGAGGUACUGGUCUCCUUAUAUCGAAAGAUUGGAAAUUUGAUCUUCAACCACCACCUACAGGUCAAUUGGGAAACUUCUUGGAGGAGUUGGACAUGCUGCUCAUUACUGCUAACCUAGCACUUACUCCUGAAGCGGCACACGCUCCAACGCAGGUCACCUUUCGACGGAACCUACGCUCACUCUCUCCAUCUCGCCUAUCCUCUGUGGUUUCAUCCUCACUUCCUUCACUCUCGCAGUUUUCAGCUCUGGACACGAACAGUGCUACGGAUACUUUUUGCUCCACUCUAACCUCUUGCUUGGACAACUUUUGCCCACUGUCGUCUAGACCAGCACGCACCACCCCAUCUGCCCCCUGGCUGUCCGAUGUUCUCCGUGAAUAACUGUUGUAACGCUCGGACACUCUUCAAAACCUUCUCUUCUCUUCUUAAUCCGCCUCCACCUCCUCCUCCAUCAACUCUUACAGCUGACGACUUUGCAGUUUUCUUCACAAAUAAGACAAGAACCAUCAGUGACCAAUUCUCCACACCGCAGACUGAGGAUAACUUCACAACGACUAAUGAAGUAGCCGCUCGCAUCAAAUUCAAGGUACUGAUGCUUGCCUACAAGACGACCACUGGCACGGCGCCAACAUACCUAAGCUCAUUAGUUCAAUCUUAUGCGCCCUCCAGAAGUUUGCGCUCUGCAAGUGAACGACGCCUUGUGGUGCCAUCCCAAAGAGGUUCAAAAUCACUCUCAUGGACUUUUUCCUGGACUGUGCCCAGCUGGUGGAAUGACCUCCCGAUCUCAAUUCGAACAGCUGAGUCUUUACUCAUUUUCAAAAAACAUCUAAAGACUCAUCUUUUUCGCCUGCACUUAACCAACUAAUACUAGUACUUACCUUUUCUUUUUCUUGUCUAUCAUAUUCUUAAAAAAAAAAAAAAUAAAAAAACCCUGGCUACGUGUUCUGUACUUUGUAAGUCGCUUUGGAUAAAAGCGUCUGCUAAAUGAUUAAAUGUAAAUGUAAAAUGUUACUGGGUUGAAAUAUGCAGCCUGCACUCACAGCAGCCCUACUCUUUUUAUUCAUUAUUUUCUCGCAGCCCAUAUUAUUAUUUUCACCAGACCAUAAUAAUAACAAAUUCUCAAUUGAUAUGUAAUCAUUCUUUUUGCGAAAAUCAUUGUUAUUUGUGAAUGUAGGCGUUUGAAGCAGGCUUUAAGACCAAGCAGAAUCCUCCGUCAGCUGCUCUCGCUUCACAGCGAGCGCAACUUACGCUAACUGCACCCAGGUUCACCGUCAGCGUUCUGAUUGUACAAAAUCAGUUUGGGUGAAUGGAAUUUAUUUAUCAUGAGCCCAGCAUUUAGCAAGGCAGGAAAACAUUCAGUCUACCUGAAGGAAGACGUAUUUCAUUAUAAGUUAAUGCUGUUAAAUAGAGAGUAAAAAAAAAAAAAAACCUACUGUAGGCUAUUCUUAAACUUGGACCUCAUUAUUGAAGUACAAAUCCAAACACCAGAAGCAACCUACACUCUCUAGGUGUUCUUUCAUCGAAAAGUAUCCAUUUUUAUUCAUUCACAGGAUAUACGGUUGAAAUAAUAUUUUAGUUCAAAACUUUAAGUGCCAUGGUUUAAAAAAAUGCAUCAUAGAAAUGUUUCCUAGACCUUCAGUUGUUAUGCUUUAAAAUUCCAUGCCAUUUGUAAUUUCACAGUAUUUUCACCUCCUAAAUUACUACCCUUGUAAAGUCACAAUUCUAAAGUGGUAAAAUUUACUCAGGCCGAUGGCAUUUUUUGAAUGAUUUUUUUUUUUUUUUCAAUAAUUGUACAUAAAUGGGUGACGCAAAACAAAUAUGAUUAUUUCUGAUAACUUUUUAACUGCACGCAGAUAUAGACCUACAUUAUUGUACAUUACAAAUAGUUGGAUCGUCCCUUUUCUUAAAGAAUAAACACUUAUUUUCUACAAGAAUAAACACUAUUUUCUUGAAUAAAAGAGAAAGAAUCACAAUUAGCCCUUAUUUUCCAUUUCUGAACCCUAAUGAUAAUCUAAUUAUCUUUUGACUCACCUGACAGUGGGACCUUCCAAAAAAAGGAGUGGAUAUGGAGCGAAUUAUAGAUUUAAAAAAGAAAAAAGUGGGUGCUCGGUUUUGAUUUUUUUAAAAAUCAACAAUUCCUGUAUAAAAUGACAGCAACCUUUAUAUCAAACAUUUUUAAAUCGUCCACAGCUGAGCAAAGCGGGAGGCAGGUUCAGCGCCAGAGCGCACAAAGUGAAUGCACAUGCACAAUUUUUAGGGGGGAGGAGGCUUUUUUGUUUCUUAAAAUAAUUUUCAGAUGCAAUGGAAAAAAAACUGGAUAAAAACAUACACGAAACUUGUAAAUAGUUAACAACUUAGCCUAGAUUAGGCCCAGACUCUGUUGCUAAGUAUACUAUAAUCUAAAUUUGUUAACCCACAGUAACACAUUUUAACUGAUUAAUUGCCUAUUUUCGUUUGCUUCAUGUUUUUUAAAAACACACUAAAAAUAAAUCAACUUUUUGAGAGGAAAAAAAUAUGUAAGUCAUGUACAAGUCGCAUUUUAUUACAUUUAGAAAUAAUAACGGCAGGCCUAAUAAUGUUAUAGACUAAUGUACCAACAGGAUAAAUAUAGUUCCCUUCACUUUACAACAUAUCUUAUAAAAACAGUACAAGAAUUAAAAAUAUAUAAUUCUAAUGGAUAAAUAAAACUGCAGUAUAUAAUAGUAAUAUAGGCUUAGCUAUAAAAAAAAAAAAAAAAAAUUUGUUAAUAAUUUAAAGCGAAAUAUAAGGUAAGGUUGGACUUACCUUUCUCUUUCGGGACAAAUCCAAACGUUUCCAUAUUCGUCAUGUUGCCCAUUUGAAGCUAAACUAUUAUUCAUUAGGUAGAAUAGGCUUUGUAGUUCACGCGUGUUUCAGUAUAGAUGGGAAAAAAUCAUAAUUAGCAAAAAUAUGGCAAAGUGGACUGAUGCUCAUGGUGAAUGGCUGCGCUGUUUAUAAUGAAUAUGAGGUACCAGCGCAAUCAAACAGCUGAAACAAAUAAUACUCCACUUUUGGUCACACAGUAAAGGCUCAAUUCAAAAAUGCAAAGUGUUAGCAGUUUGGAAAAUCAAGAAUAAUAGUAUAAUUCUUGAAAUCAAGAAAAUCAAGAAUAAUAGAGUUAAUAAGAAUUAUUUCUAAAUGCUGGACUGUUCUCAUUUCGCUCUGGAUAUGGAACCUGAAGGAUAUAUAUAUAUUUUUUUUUUUUUUUUUUUGCCAAGAACGAACUGAAAUGAAAACAUUUACCUUUUAAUCUGUGUAUUUAUAUAUAUAUUGUGACGCGUGUCCCGAGCUCUCAUCAGCGUCGCCCUGAAGACAGAGCAGGCACACCUGCACCUGCUCAUUAUGGGCUGAGCGGUCACACCUGCAGCCCAUUGCAGACGGGCUUUAUAAGCGGCACCGACGAACACAGAGGGGUGAGAUGUCUCCCAAGGACUCAGCUAACGAUUCUCUGUGUUUCUCCUCCAGACAGCAGCGUGUGACCGCCAGCCCGCUAAAGACACGGACCUCACGGACCCACGCAGCACUGCGCACCGAGGGAGGAAGAGAAGGCUGAGCACUGAGCACCGGAACCCCUCACGUUGGCUAUUUUUCCCUGCACCACCUCAAUAAAAUCCACCCUUCGGGGAACUCAACUUGAUCCUCGUGUCGUGUGCUUCUUCACCCCGUCACACUGGUGGAGAAUGCGGGCAUAACAGUGAAGAAGUUACCGACCAGGAUCCCACCACAUUCACUCUCACCGGAUCAGUUUUCUCACGUCCCCUUCCUGUUUCCCCAGGUGGCGCUCCUCCCCCAACGAUGGAAGAUCUGCUGAAGCACCUCACCGAGGUGAGCAUCCGCCAGCAACAGAUCAUGGAGCACAUGGCCUCCCGACAAGGGGAAACGGAACGAGAGCUCGCUGCCAUCCGCAUGGCCGCCGCCCCGCGAACUCUGCUACCUGACCCCCGAGCCCAGGCUACCCAGCUCAUCCCGAAGAUGACGGGGCAUGAUGACAUCGAGACCUUCCUUCAGAUGUUCGAGGCGAUCGCUGCCCGGGAGGAGUGGCCCAGGGACGAGUGGGCGCGGAUCGUGGCGCCGUUGCUGACGGGAGAGGCGCAACGGGCAUACUUUAUGCUUGGCCCCGAGCGGAGUAGCUCUUAUGAAGAUUUGAAAAAGGAGAUCUUGGGGCGGGUUGGACUGUCGCCCAUUAGCGCCGCC